Oxyura jamaicensis (ruddy duck) is the source of this 4917-nucleotide long non-coding RNA. RefSeq lists it as uncharacterized. The transcript has 2 exons. The record is from RefSeq and is a predicted model, not a curated record. Lineage: Eukaryota; Metazoa; Chordata; Aves; Anseriformes; Anatidae.
GUUUUUUGUUUGUUUGUUUAUUUUUAGUAUAGUGAUUACUGUGGGGUAGUUUUGAUGAUGUGACCCCUUUAGGUGCUGUGAUAACAUGAAUAAAAUCACUUGACUGUUCUUCCCGCCAUUUUUGUUUACUGAAAAACCAUGGAGAAAUGCUGUCAGGAAGAAAAAAGUAAGAUUUGUUUUGAGGAGACUGUGGGAUGUUUUUAAUGAAUGUAAUUGAGUGCAAUUGUGGAUUUUGCAGCCGUUAAAUGAAAUGGGACUCUGCCAGUCUUGUAUACAAGAAUAAAGUGGUAGUAAUAAGCUGCUAGUAGUCAGCAAGGAAUCCCUCCACCUUUUUGGAACUGAAGGCUUCUGCACCCAGCUUGAGCUGAUUAGGUCUGGGAAUUUUUACAGGCUUAAAGCUACCAGUGGAAUACACUCUUUUCCUUGUUUUGCAGUGUAUAAAUCUAAACUGGAGGCUGUUUUGGUAGGAGUCUUCAGCUUAUUGUGGGUUAUAGGUUUCCUACUUUUGCUGUUCUUUGUUGUUGUCAUCACCUUAGGAGGGUACCUCUACCAUGAACUGAGCGGUUUCAGUUUGGUGCAGUGCUUUGCUUAUAAGGAAGGAAGAAGUUGGACAGGGAAGCAACAGCUCCUUCUGAUCUUGAGUGGAUCUGUGUAAUUUUAUGUAUUUAACUUGAACAAGAGUUUAGAAUGAACUUGCCUGAUGUACAGCAAAGCUGGUUUGUUUAAUACAGUUGUAUUGUCCCAGUAAUGGAAGCUGAGAUAGAAAGAGCUGGUGUGUUUUUACUAGAGAAAGGUAUGGAAAAAAAGUUGAAGGACUGACAAACUUGGUUCCCUUGACCGAUGGGGGUAAUCAGGCCAGUCUGUCACCGGGUUGUUCUAGAUUUGACUUUUCUGGCUUGUAUAAUUUUUAGAAAGUUACCUGAUGACAGACUGAGCUGAGAAAACAAACCUGCAAAACAUUGCUACUUUAAUGAAAACCUGUCACUUUCAUUAGUGGCUGUUACCUGUUUACACUGUACCCUUUUGUAUGGAUUUAUUGGAACUGUAAGGAAUAUAAGGUAUUUUUCACCUUGUUGUGUAAGAUGACAGUGGAUUUUUGCUCUCCAGCUUUCUCUUAAUUUUCAGCGUCGGCACAGAAGAAUUGACACUGCUCUGAGACUGAUUUAUUUAAUUGAUCUAUGCUUUUGGUUGUUUCAGGUCAUUUCCAAGGCUUUUGUUUUCUGACAGGUUGUUGAUGUUUCAGCCUGCUCAUAUGGUUGUUGAACCUCAACAAGUUUAAAGUAAAAUUAAUUAUCUAGUUUUAUCAAAAUGCAUGGAGAAAAGCUGAAAAUUCCAUGAACCCAUGUCUCCUGCCCCAACUAAACCAGAGUUGGGUUCUACAAAAGGUUUUGUAGAAACUAAGCUUUUGCUCAGUUUUGACUAGAUGAGAUUACUUUUUAAAAGCAUUAAAUGUGUGUCAAUUAUCAAGACGUUCAUCCUCAUUUAAUUAAUACUGCGGUUCUUGGGAGAUGCAGAUACUACUUAGGCAGGUUGCUGGACACCUGGACUUGGCCCUGGAGUAACUUUAUGGGCUUUGCCUGCAGUAAGGGUAGAUGCUAUGUUGUUGUCUCAUUGAGAAUUGUUUGGUAGCUGUAAAUCAGUGUCCUCUAUAUGUGAUGCACAUCCCCAAGUCUGCAAAAAGAUUUAACUCAGCCUUUCCUUUUUACAAAACAUCAAAGGUAGCCAACUUAAAUCAUUGUAUGAUGUUCUGUCUGUUUAUAUCAUAGACUAUUGGAAAUACUCUGUGUUAAUUAAAAUGUCUGAAGAAAUAUGCUAACAUUUUUCCUAUUAUAAAUGGUAGGUAGAAUUGUAUAUUAAUUGACUAAUUUAAAAUGUCAGGAUGCUUUUUCCAAGCCAACCUCGUAUUAAUAGCAAGAAUCCUUUUGCUGAUGAAAUGGUCUCCAAUUAUCACAGCUUGGGUUUUGUUGUACAUUGAACAGAAGUCAACAAAACGAGUAUGUAAGAGAACCUGCCUAAAUAAGCAACCAUACUCAUUAAAAACACAAAAUUAAUCAUAGGAUGAAUGAAGAAGGCAAUGUUACAUAGAUUUUUUUUCGCUCCCCUUUCUAAUCAUAGAACAAAAUAAUGUUACAUGAAAGGAUCGGAACUAUUAUGUGGUACUCAAUUAUAAGGAGGUGAAUAGGUCCCUAACAUGCCAUUUUAUCAAAGGAGCAGGCUGGUGUUUACAUGAUGGCUGUUUCAUUACAGACACUGCCAUUAAUUCCAUGUGUCAAUACUGCCCUGUAGUGCAUAGAGCAGACAAGAAAGAGUUACCGCUCAAAACAAGGGAAUGAUUUUUGAGUCGUUAUCAAGCUAAAUGGCAAGCAGGAAGCUAGAACUUGUAUAGAUACAUUUGAAGGGACUCUUGGGAGAUAUGCAAUUGGAAGAAGAGAAUGCGUUUUACCAACUGUUUAAUUAUGGUGUGUUUCCAAGUAUACUUGAAUAGAAUGCUUUGUUUGCAUUAGAAAAAUGGAUGUUGCAAGAAGGGUUAUUUGAGUGUAUUGGAGGUCACGUAAGGAUGUUCAAAUAUGUAUAAAUAUUCAUACUGUGUGUUUGGACACAUCUCCGUGGAUACAGAAGUAUUCACGCUGCCACCUACUGGGGUGAAGUGUUCUCUCUUCUACUCUAUAAAAGGACCAUAAACAUCCAGUUUCUGGGUAAUGAAAUUAUUUCUGAGGGUAUAUGUGCCAGUCUGGGGUGAUUCCUGUGCUACUUUGUAUCUCACCUUAAACAGUCAGCACAUCUGCAGCUACCCCAAGCUGUCAAAGCUCAGUUGAGGUCUGUAAGCAGCCCGUGCUAAAUGGGGAGCUUGCUGAGGUUGGUAUAACUGAGACAGCUUGUACCAGGUAGGGGUCAGCUCUGUGGGCUCCUGUGGUGCUGUGCUGAAGUUGGCCAAGUGAUGCCUCUUGCAGUCCAACCCCAAAUUCUGUUAUUUAGAAGUUGAGUGUUUGGAACUUCUGAAGCUAGCUUUGUAGGUAGACCAAAUCAUUUCAUCUGUUUGUCUCCCUCUGUGUUUUUCCUCACUGAAAAACAUGCACAAGCUUGUGCAGUGUUCAGAGCUUGCAGUCAAGUCUUAACCAAUGAAAUAAUGCCAAGUUUUACACUAUUUUAGGACUAGAUUAUGGUUAGGGGAAAAAAAAAAAAAAAAGAGGCUGAUCCCUGCCUUCUCCUCUGAACAAUUAAUCCACCCAUCUUCUUUUGGUGGCCUAGCAUACUUCUGUCUUCAUACAGUUCCAUUUUUCCUGGGUAGCGUUUGUCUGGGGAAGGGUGUAUGGAGUUGAACCUCCUAAUAAAGAAAAAGGACAGCAAGCUUGUAACAACCAUGUUUGAUCCUGUUCAAGGACUUGAAAAGCAGGAACAGAUAGGUAACUGAUAAACAUCCGUGUUUCCGUGUUAUUUUAUGAAAUGUGAGCUCAGCCUAACUCAUAGUUAGCUUGUAGAGGAGGAAAUGCAUUGGGAAUGAAACUGAAAUGCAGUACGGUAUGGUUCAUGUGGUGCGCUUUGAGAUGAGUACAGUGAGCUGAGGAACACAGGAUUUUGAGCGUCAUUAAAAACCUACAAAUGCACUUUGUUGGCUCAGACUUUUAAGUUACAUUGUUAUGCAAAACUGUGUUUAUCUUCAAAUGACUUCCACCAAAAAACACAGGCCAAGACUUGCAUAUAAGUAUUUCUCAACUAUUGCAUCUGGUGUUCAGCAUCUCUGCAGACGAUUCAUUUGGAGAGAAAAAAAAUAGUGUUGUGUUCUGCAGUGUUUGUAGCAUGAUGGAAAAGUGAAGCAUGAAAGGUGAGUUGCAGAGAAAGCUAUGUCUCUGUAAUUGACAAAUUAUGACUUAAUAUUUACAGAUGUCUUUUAAGUUAUCCCUGUGUGUGGAGAUAGAGGGUUAAGAAGUGAGAAAACUUGCCUAUGUUUCUCUGAAGUUUAAGUUUCCUCUCUGCUUGCAACCACCGGUCUCUAAGUUGUAUUGUGCACAGAAGUUUGAGCCAGAAAGCUGGUUUAGCUAGGACAUUUACACGUGUAGAAGCAGGAAAGUCUGUUCCCACCUUUACACUCUAUGGUCUGUGUGGGUGCUUGCUCUCCAGCUUUCACUUAGUUUAUCAGUAUUGGCACCAGAAAGUUGCAUCAAAAUUGUUGUGGGAUUAUGCAAAACUUCUCCAGGUUUCAAAGUGGUUUCUAUUCUUUAAGCCCGUGUCUAUGUCCUUCAGUAACAACACUGUUCUGACCUGGCAUAUUUCUCCUUGGUCAUUGUUUUCCUGGUUUUGGUUGUUGGUUUGUUUGUUUGUUUGCUUCCUUUUUGCUGAACUGUUUCUUGAUCCUUUACUGGCCAUUUAUUUAUUACCAAUAAUAAAUCAUAAAUGACCAGUAAACUACAUGAUCUCAUGACUUCCAGCUGCAGUGUUGUGUUACAAACCAAGAGCAUGCGCUGUCGUUUUUAAAACAAAAAUCUAGAAUUCCCUGAACUUAGACAAGCAAGGGUGAUUUCAUUCUGUGUGGGUAUGUUUUUACUUUUAGGACUUUGCUUUAAUUAUUUUUUUUUAAAGAUUUACUGUCCAGGUUAUUUGGCUCCAAAAAUAAAUGCAAGUAAAGACUUGCUCUCCACAUUAUUCUGCUCCAAAAAAUAAGUAUGAAAAAUGACUUCUGAAGCUUGAACCUGAGUUAGGCGGCACUGAAGAGCAGUUGCAAGGCUGAUCACAGAUUUCAAAGGACUCUUGUAUUACAGUGUUUAAAGUUUCAAAGCCAAAAAGGCUUCAGAUGCAUAGAUUUUGUUGUUGUUGUUUUUUUCCUUCUGCUGAAAAAAAUGUCUUUGCUAUUAGACGCGAUUUGAAAGCACUCUGGCUUUGCCUUGGAGGACAUCUGACAGCAGACUGGAAGGGCUCUGG